GUCCCUGUCGCGCAGUGAGUAGCGCGUUGGACUUCUAAUCCAAAGGUCGUGGGUUCAAAUCCCACCUGGGGUG
Trichonephila clavipes is the source of this 73-nucleotide non-coding RNA. Lineage: Eukaryota; Metazoa; Arthropoda; Arachnida; Araneae; Nephilidae. The record is from the annotation of a GenBank genome assembly.